GGUUCGGUGGUGUAGGGGUUAUCACGUCUGUCUUACACACAGGAGGUCCCCGGUUCGAGACCGGGUCGAACCA
This 73-nucleotide transfer RNA is filed under the name Collybiopsis luxurians FD-317 M1. RNAcentral's name for it is "tRNA-Val (TAC) (tRNA-Val-TAC-2-1)". It matches the Rfam family "tRNA". From Rfam's summary of the family: Transfer RNA (tRNA) molecules are approximately 80 nucleotides in length. Their secondary structure includes four short double-helical elements and three loops (D, anti-codon, and T loops). Lineage: Eukaryota; Fungi; Basidiomycota; Agaricomycetes; Agaricales; Omphalotaceae. The record is from RNAcentral.